AAGUGCUGGUUGAAGCGCAAAUUGCAUGAUCACCGUUUCAUUAUGGUUACCGUAGAAAUCAGGGUUGGGAGGUUAAUAGGAACACGACCAGAUAGGUCUCAAGGCUUGGGGGCGGUUAAAAAGAUUUUGAAUACCAAGAAGAAGAAACCUGCUUUUAAAAGGCCACCCACUGUGUAUGACAUCUUAAGAAAUCCGAAAGAUCCUAGGAGAAGCGGGGAGAAGAGUGGAGUAUACGAAAUACCUUUGACAGAUGUAGAUACUGAUACCCAAAGGAUUUACGUGGGAGCGACGAAACGGAAUCUUCAAGAGUGAGUGGAAGAACAUAAAAGAGACAUUAGGACAGCCAAUCUAGUGACAGCACUUGCAAAAACAGCAUAUGAAAAGGAUGUAAUAAAUUGGGACCGAGCCAAAGUUGUUAAGCAAAUAAAUAGUAACCCGGAGCUACCUUUAGCGAAGAGCGUGCGGAUUCUAGAGCAUAAAAAGGUAAAAAGCGUGAUUAAUGACAGAGGAGAGGAGGAUUUACAAAGCUCUUGG
This 534-nucleotide long non-coding RNA is filed under the name Androctonus crassicauda. Lineage: Eukaryota; Metazoa; Arthropoda; Arachnida; Scorpiones; Buthidae. The record is from RNAcentral.